RNAcentral lists this ribosomal RNA (389 nucleotides) under uncultured bacterium. RNAcentral describes it as "partial 16S ribosomal RNA". It matches the Rfam family "Bacterial small subunit ribosomal RNA", at positions 523 to 918 of the family's 1533-position model. The record is from RNAcentral.
AUACGGAGGAUGCGAGCGUUAUCCGGAUUUAUUGGGUUUAAAGGGUGCGUAGGCGGACGAUUAAGUCAGCUGUGAAAUGCCCGCGCUUAACGCGGGAAGUGCAGUUGAUACUGGUUGUCUGGAGUGCCGUUGCCGUGGGGGGAAUGUGUAGUGUAGCGGUGAAAUGCAUAGAUAUUACACAGAACGCCGAUUGUGAAGACACCUCACGAAGCGGUAACUGACGCUGAGGCACGAAAGCGUGGGUAGCAAAUAGGAUUAGAUACCCUAGUAGUCCACGCUGUAAACGAUGACAACUAAAUAUUGCCGCGAGGCAGUGUUGAAGCUAACGCAUUAAGUUGUCCGCCUGGGGAGUACGGUCGCAAGACUGAAACUUAAAGGAAUUGACGGGG